CCUAGUGAGAUGAACCCGUUCUCACCUUGAUGAUUUUAUAAAUACCUGUGCAAUCAUUUAAGGAUGCUGUUAUAACUUGCUAUCACAGGAUUCAGGUCCAAGAACCCUCUCUUAGGAUCUGCACUGGGACCUACCCCUUUUUGGCAACAUGUUCUUGGCAACCACGAAGGGACUAUCCUGAGGAGAUCCCUGACCCAAAGGAAAUAGACUGCAGAACCAAUUGGCUGACUUUGGCGGGUCAAAGAAUAUGUGAGAUUCCCCACACAUUUAUGCCACAGGAGGAGAAAAGCCUGCCUAGGGGUGUUUUAACUUAUGCCCAGAAGUACCACCUGGAAGAGGCAACGAGACUUUAUUCAUAAGAAUCUAAGUGGAGCAUUCUCCCAGACAACCAGCGGCGGAGCAAGGAGGGGCUGGCCAAACAGUGACGUUGACUGGUGCAUGAGACGAACAGAGGCUCACAGAAGAGCCUCUGAAGAGCCCACAAAAAAUGUCCAUAAGGAGGUGCGACAGGCUUCAAGCCAAGGCUGUCUGACCUGAGACAAACCAAUGAUCACUCUCACACGCAUUAUCUAAAUAAAACUUAUCCACUU
Molecule: long non-coding RNA, 590 nt
Filed under: Homo sapiens (human)
Lineage: Eukaryota; Metazoa; Chordata; Mammalia; Primates; Hominidae
Description: HSALNT0095907
Source: RNAcentral